UAAAAGGCUGUCAGAUAGUCUUGAUAUAAUGGAUUACAAAUACUAAUCUCUUAUUAGAGUUUAGAAUUAAUGAAGGGCUCUGAUACAUAUUCAGCUUUGGAGGAAAUUUUGAAGAAACCAGAACUGGUUGUGUUUUAGUCAGGGUUUUAUUUUUCAAAAAUAUCUAUAAGAUACACCUUUUUAGAACAGUAGUAAUAUCAUAUCAUAUUGAAAGCAAACAUUUAUCAUCAGGUCAAGGAAGAGCAUGGCAGUUGCACAGUGAACAUUUUGGAGUAGGGCGUAUGUACUACAAUGACAUAUGCCUAAAAUAAAAAGGAACUUAAAUUAAGUUUUACAGUAAAUCUAUCUGUAACUUUCCAUACUGACGAACUUUUGUUUUAAUUACGCUUUCGUGGAUCAAGCCUUUAACCUCCUAGGAAGUGUUACACAGUGUUUUAUUUUCAGUCUAUUCAAGCUGAGCCAUUGUAACCCAGCCACAUAGAACAGAGGUAGAUUAAUAAAUGCCACGGGGAAGCCAUGGUUACCUGUGCAGGUAAAAUGAGCUGAGUCAAGGGCACAAUAAUGCCCUGUCUUUGUGUUUGACACCAGACUUAAAAUACUAAAUCUUGAUUAGGCAAAACAUAGGAAUUUUAUUUUUAAGGGAACAGUCCCUUUUAAUAUUUGGAAUAAGAUUCAUUGUUUAAUGUUAACAUUAUUAUAUCUUAGUAAUUUUGAGGUCAUAAUUUAGAAGAACUGAAUUUAACUUUCAGUAGCUUGUUAGAAAAAUCCAAGAGCUAGAACGUAUUGCUAAAGGGAACAUUGGACAGUUCUACUUUGGAAGCUUGUGUCCUGUCCUGUUCUUGUGUCAGACUCAGUGGGAAUAUCUGCAAGGAGAUUUGUAAAGGGCGUCCAUUGAAGGCUACCCUUUAACUAUCAGUCGUAGUUCAUGAGCUGCAGGAGCCAAGCACGGCACCUCUGAACUCAGGCGUGCCCUGACUCUGCUCGCUCAAGUUCCUAUCUAGAGUUCUGUCACGGCAUGUAUAGUUACAGUGACAGGGUGUUCUCUGAAUGAGCACAUUAGCUCAUAGCGGAUGACAUUUGGAACCACCUUGCACCCCUUUUGUUUCUAUUUCUGACAGUGGUCAUAAACCAAGAGAAAUACUCUUACUUGCUGUAAAUGGUUCAACGUGGCCCCCCAAAAACAUGGAUGGGAAAAUUGCUGCGUGAAUGUAUCAGACAUUUAAUCAUGAAAGGGAAGGAUUUGAGAUUUCUUAUUUAAAGGAAAUACUGAAUACAAUAGAAUGUACUUGGAAAUCAGUGAGUCAUCGGCAGCACUGUUGCGGUGCAUACAGAGAGAACCUUUUGUGCCUUUUUUGCCUGCAGUGUUUAUUUCUCUUCCAUGAACUUUAAGAAUGUUGAUUAUUGCACCUUGUUCUUUGGUAAAUAGACUUAAGAAUUUUUCUAAAAAGAGCCAUUUCUUGUUAGAUGAUAGCUACCUUAGUAAACACGAGGGGAUGUAUCAUAUUUGUAUGUGUUUGAAGCCCGGCCUUUUCUAUGUAGAGAGCAGGACAUUUCUUUUAAUGUAUUCAUUUGUGUGUAUGUGUGUGUAUUUAUAUAUUACAUAUAUGUAGUUAUUUAAGUACUUACACGUGAAAUUGAGCAUCAUGUUGGUGUGGUGACCAGAAGUAGUAAGGUGCUAGACGGUCACAUUAAGAGCACAGCCGAGUGUGCAAUCAGUCACUGACUGGUGAGUUUGUAAACUAGGUUCAGUUUUUGAACCACAGAAUACCUCAUGUGUAAAUACAGUGUUCAUGACUUAACUGAGAUACAGUUAUUGUAAAAAAAAAUGUGAAGCCACUGGCUGGCUCCUGCCUUCUGAGUUUUUAUUUUUACCUCCUUUUUGGAAAGGAGUUGUUUUUGUUUUGUUAUUUUUUAAAUAGGGUUUACAGCUAGAAAUUUGAAUGCCAAAGUUCUAUUUAUUAAACUAAUAAAAAACGUUUUCAAUGUUAAUGGCUAGUAUUUUUCCACUGGACUAUUGUUUGUUGAUGUUGGAAUUUGUAUUUACAGAGAAAUAAAUUUUUUAGAAAAAUAA
Molecule: long non-coding RNA, 2071 nt
Filed under: Rattus norvegicus (Norway rat)
Lineage: Eukaryota; Metazoa; Chordata; Mammalia; Rodentia; Muridae
Description: long non-coding RNA NONRATT017767
Source: RNAcentral